CUGUGUUUGGAUGUAUCUAACAAUGGCUUUUGGUUGCUUGAUCUUGCCUUCAAAUAUCCUCUCAUUUCUUGCCUCCCAAAUACAGUAAACUGAACAUGCAAGGCCUAUUUUCUUGGCUUUAGCUUGAACCCCUUGCCCCUUGCCUACUUAGUAAUCCACUUUACAGCAGCUUCAAUGUGCUCAUCGCUUGCGAGAUACCCAGCAAUUGCUUGAUUUGUAACCAAACUUGUUUACCCACAUUACAUUGAAAAAACUGGUGGUCUAUAGAUUCAUCUGCAGCAUUACAAAAGGGGCAUAUCUGAUCUUCUACGAGCCCUUGUAGCUUAUCUCUUGUAAGAAGUCUAUCUUUCAACCCCAGCCAUAGAAUAAAGGAGUGUUUAGGAGUGGAGGCUGCUGUGCCAAACUAACUUUGGCUAGGUGAGG
This 423-nucleotide long non-coding RNA is filed under the name Actinidia chinensis (golden kiwifruit). RNAcentral describes it as "long non-coding RNA (ACHI_LNC008215)". Lineage: Eukaryota; Viridiplantae; Streptophyta; Magnoliopsida; Ericales; Actinidiaceae. The record is from RNAcentral.